GGCAGACCUAGGAGAUCGAGAGGCCAUCGAGGAAUGUCUCGCUUCAGAUCUUCAUCCGGUGAGUAUGACAACUCCCCGUUCUUUCCCAGUAAGGUUAGGGGGCAGACUCACUUGUUUUUUCCAUGUCUGGAGUCAGGUUACAAACGACUCUUGGAUACUAGACACGGUUCUAGGUUACAAAAUAGAUUUUAUAUCAUUCCCCGUCCAAAGAAACAUGCCUUUCCCGAUAAAAUUUUCGGCCCAAGACCAGGCCCUGGUGCAUCAAGAAAUAUUAAAUUUAUAUUCAAAAAAUGCCAUCAUACAGGUGCCCAUGAACAGCCCAGGCUUCAUAAGCAAUUUAUUCUUGGUGAAAAAGAAAGAUUCUGG
This is a non-coding RNA of Pelobates cultripes (western spadefoot toad), 366 nucleotides long. The record is from the annotation of a GenBank genome assembly. NCBI's taxonomy places the organism in Eukaryota, Metazoa, Chordata, Amphibia, Anura, Pelobatidae.